Molecule: non-coding RNA, 698 nt
Organism: Oryzias latipes (Japanese medaka)
Lineage: Eukaryota; Metazoa; Chordata; Actinopteri; Beloniformes; Adrianichthyidae
Source: RefSeq, a predicted model, not a curated record
AGCAUUGUUCUCCCGUGUUAGCAUGCUAGCUAGCUCAAUGCUAGCGGGGUAUGUAUGCGUCUGCACUAUGCAGACUGGCAGAAUUCUGGUUCAGUGAAUCAGAGCAGAGUAAAUUGUAGCAGACCAGCAAAAACGUGCUUUAUUCCCCAUAAAAUUAGUCCAGUAUUAGACAUCAAUAGAAUUAUUAGUUUCUUUUUAAUUAGGUGGUGGUUUUAAAAUGGACUAUUGCUGUAUGUCUGUUGUUUUCUAUAAGGGCCGUUGUUAUGCAUGCCAUAACAAAAAAGGCAGGAAUACUGAGGUAGCAACGAAGUGGAUGUCCACAACUUCUUUAAGAUGCAGGCUCCAAAGACGGCCCUGGUGUAAUGCAAAGGCUGUCCAGCAGGCUCACAGACAUCUCCUGUUAACUGAAAGAGAAGCAUUUAAAAUAGUUGUCCAUUUUGACCUUGAUUGCAUUGACAACAUGCCCAGGCACACUGUCUGCUUCCCAUUUCUCAGUGCCACCUGCACGAAAACAGUGACUUUUCCACCUCAAGUCUUUUGAGGAGUUUUAAAAACAGUUAUUUUAAUUUCUCUGAAUUGGGGUUCAGAAUUUCACAGAAUCUAAAACACUUGACUCUGUGUUUCAAAGAUCUUUGCAAAACCAUCAGUCUUUUGUACAAAACACAUUUAAUGGUCAAAGAUUAAAAAAUGAAGCAUUA